AGGGCACCACCAGGAGUGGAGCCUGCGGCUUAAUUUGACUCAACACGGGAAAACUCACCCGGCCCGGACACUGGAAGGAUUGACAGAUUGAGAGCUCUUUCUUGAUUCAGUGGGUGGUGGUGCAUGGCCGUUCUUAGUUGGUGGAGCGAUUUGUCUGGUUAAUUCCGAUAACGAACGAGACUCUAGCCUACUAAAUAGAUCGUCGGCUUACAAACGCCGAUGAGACUUCUUAGAGGGACAGGCGGCGAUUCAGCCGCACGAAACAGAGCAAUAACAGGUCUGUGAUGCCCUUAGAUGUCCGGGGCCGCACGCGCGCUACACUGAAGUGAUCAGCGUGCAUUUUCAGCCUACUCUGCCAAGAGUGGGAAACCCAAUGAACCUUCUUCGUGAUUGGGAUAGGGGAUUGUAAUUAUUCCCCUUGAACAAGGAAUUCCCAGUAAGCGCGAGUCAUAAGCUCGCGUUGAUUACGUCCCUGCCCUUUGUACACACCGCCCGUCGCUACUACCGAUUGAAUGUUUU
Molecule: ribosomal RNA, 519 nt
Filed under: uncultured eukaryote
Lineage: Eukaryota
Description: SSU rRNA
Rfam family: Eukaryotic small subunit ribosomal RNA
Source: RNAcentral